Molecule: ribosomal RNA, 444 nt
Filed under: uncultured bacterium
Lineage: Bacteria
Description: partial 16S ribosomal RNA
Rfam family: Bacterial small subunit ribosomal RNA
Source: RNAcentral
CUACGGGGCGCACCAGUGGGGAAUAUUGCACAAUGGGCGAAAGCCUGAUGCAGCAACGCCGCGUGAGGGACGACGGCCUUCGGGUUGUAAACCUCUUUUAGCAGGGAAGAAGCGAAAGUGACGGUACCUGCAGAAAAAGCACCGGCUAACUACGUGCCAGCAGCCGCGGUAAUACGUAGGGUGCAAGCGUUGUCCGGAAUUAUUGGGCGUAAAGAGCUCGUAGGCGGUUUGUCGCGUCUGCUGUGAAAAUCCGAGGCUCAACCUCGGACCUGCAGUGGGUACGGGCAAACUAGAGUGCGGUGGGGGAGAUUGGAAUUCCUGGUGUAGCGGUGGAAUGCGCAGAUAUCAGGAGGAACACCAAUGGCGAAGGCAGAUCUCUGGGCCGUAACUGACGCUGAGGAGCGAAAGCGUGGGGAGCGAACAGGAUUAGAUACCCCAGUAGUC